GUGGGGAAUAUUGGACAAUGGGCGCAAGCCUGAUCCAGCAAUGCCGCGUGGGUGAAGAAGGUCUUCGGAUCGUAAAGCCCUUUCGACAGGGACGAUGAUGACGGUACCUGUAGAAGAAGCCCCGGCUAACUUCGUGCCAGCAGCCGCGGUAAUACGAAGGGGGCUAGCGUUACUCGGAAUUACUGGGCGUAAAGGGCGAGUAGGCGGCUCUGUUAGUCAGGCGUGAAAUUCCUGGGCUUAACCUGGGGAUUGCGCUUGAUACUGCAGGGCUUGAGGCCGAUGGAGGGUGGGGGAAUUCCCAGUGUAGAGGUGAAAUUCGUAGAUAUUGGGAAGAACACCGGUGGCGAAGGCGACCACCUGGCUCGGUUCUGACGCUGAGGCGCGACAGCGUGGGGAGCAAACAGGAUUAGAUACCCCUGUAGUCC
Molecule: ribosomal RNA, 425 nt
Filed under: uncultured bacterium
Lineage: Bacteria
Description: partial 16S ribosomal RNA
Rfam family: Bacterial small subunit ribosomal RNA
Source: RNAcentral